UACGGCCGCAUCAUGUUAAAACAACGGUUCCCAUACGAUCACUGAAGUUAAGCAAUGUCGAGCCUGGUCAGUAACUAGAUGGGUAAAGACUUGGGAACAA
This is a non-coding RNA of Acanthosepion pharaonis, 100 nucleotides long. The record is from the annotation of a GenBank genome assembly. NCBI's taxonomy places the organism in Eukaryota, Metazoa, Mollusca, Cephalopoda, Sepiida, Sepiidae.